AUCAUCCUUUACUUUCGAAGAUCCUGCUCUCUCAAGCAACUAAUAUUAUGGGCACGUGAAUCCUCUGCUGUGUACCUCGAGAUGCAGUGCACAGCACACAUACUCGUGCAUAUAGUGGGCUGUGUGAUGUAUGCCACAUCUGGCCAUACAUACUGUUCAUCAUGCGAUAAAUGAUGUAUGUAUGCGAUACAUUGUAUCGUCCGGUGCAUCACGUGCAAAGCAGAGGAUCCGU
RNAcentral lists this long non-coding RNA (232 nucleotides) under Elaeis guineensis (African oil palm). RNAcentral describes it as "long non-coding RNA (EGUI_LNC022587)". Lineage: Eukaryota; Viridiplantae; Streptophyta; Magnoliopsida; Arecales; Arecaceae. The record is from RNAcentral.